CCUACGGGAGGCAGCAGUGGGGAAUAUUGCACAAUGGGGGGAACCCUGAUGCAGCGACGCCGCGUGGGUGAAGGAGUAUUUCGGUAUGUAAAGCCCUAUCAGCAGGGAAGAACAAUGACGGUACCUGACUAAGAAGCACCGGCGAAAUACGUGCCAGCAGCCGCGGUAAUACGUAUGGUGCAAGCGUUAUCCGGAUUUACUGGGUGUAAAGGGAGCGCAGGCGGCGCGUUAAGCCUGGUGUGAAAGUCCGCGGCCCAACCGCGGGACUGCAGUGGGAACUGGCGCGCUGGAGUGCCGGAGGGGUAGGCGGAAUUCCUAGUGUAGCGGUGAAAUGCGUAGAUAUUAGGAGGAACACCAGUGGCGAAGGCGGCCUACUGGACGGUGACUGACGCUGAGGCUCGAAAGCGUGGGGAGCAAACAGGAUUAGAUACCCCUGUAGUC
This 441-nucleotide ribosomal RNA is filed under the name uncultured bacterium. RNAcentral's name for it is "partial 16S ribosomal RNA". It matches the Rfam family "Bacterial small subunit ribosomal RNA", at positions 338 to 795 of the family's 1533-position model. The record is from RNAcentral.